ACUGGGUGUGGUGGCACAUUCCUGUAAUCCCUGCUACUUGGAGGCUGAGGCAGGAAGGUCUCAAGUUUGAGGCCAGCCUGGGCAACUGAGUAAGAUCCUGUCUCAA
RNAcentral lists this small RNA (106 nucleotides) under Marmota monax (woodchuck). The record is from RNAcentral. Lineage: Eukaryota; Metazoa; Chordata; Mammalia; Rodentia; Sciuridae.